Molecule: ribosomal RNA, 2888 nt
Filed under: human gut metagenome
Description: bacterial LSU rRNA
Rfam family: Bacterial large subunit ribosomal RNA
Source: RNAcentral
AGCGUACACGGUGGAUGCCCUGGCAGUCAGAGGCGAUGAAGGACGUGCUAAUCUGCGAUAAGCGUCGGUAAGGUGAUAUGAACCGUUAUAACCGGCGAUUUCCGAAUGGGGAAACCCAGUGUGUUUCGACACACUAUCAUUAACUGAAUCCAUAGGUUAAUGAGGCGAACCGGGGGAACUGAAACAUCUAAGUACCCCGAGGAAAAGAAAUCAACCGAGAUUCCCCCAGUAGCGGCGAGCGAACGGGGAGCAGCCCAGAGCCUGAAUCAGUGUGUGUGUUAGUGGAAGCGUCUGGAAAGGCGCGCGAUACAGGGUGACAGCCCCGUACACAAAAAUGCACAUAUUGUGAGCUCGAUGAGUAGGGCGGGACACGUGGUAUCCUGUCUGAAUAUGGGGGGACCAUCCUCCAAGGCUAAAUACUCCUGACUGACCGAUAGUGAACCAGUACCGUGAGGGAAAGGCGAAAAGAACCCCGGCGAGGGGAGUGAAAAAGAACCUGAAACCGUGUACGUACAAGCAGUGGGAGCACGCUUAGGCGUGUGACUGCGUACCUUUUGUAUAAUGGGUCAGCGACUUAUAUUCUGUAGCAAGGUUAACCGAAUAGGGGAGCCGAAGGGAAACCGAGUCUUAACUGGGCGUUAAGUUGCAGGGUAUAGACCCGAAACCCGGUGAUCUAGCCAUGGGCAGGUUGAAGGUUGGGUAACACUAACUGGAGGACCGAACCGACUAAUGUUGAAAAAUUAGCGGAUGACUUGUGGCUGGGGGUGAAAGGCCAAUCAAACCGGGAGAUAGCUGGUUCUCCCCGAAAGCUAUUUAGGUAGCGCCUCGUGAAUUCAUCUCCGGGGGUAGAGCACUGUUUCGGCAAGGGGGUCAUCCCGACUUACCAACCCGAUGCAAACUGCGAAUACCGGAGAAUGUUAUCACGGGAGACACACGGCGGGUGCUAACGUCCGUCGUGAAGAGGGAAACAACCCAGACCGCCAGCUAAGGUCCCAAAGUCAUGGUUAAGUGGGAAACGAUGUGGGAAGGCCCAGACAGCCAGGAUGUUGGCUUAGAAGCAGCCAUCAUUUAAAGAAAGCGUAAUAGCUCACUGGUCGAGUCGGCCUGCGCGGAAGAUGUAACGGGGCUAAACCAUGCACCGAAGCUGCGGCAGCGACACUGUGUGUUGUUGGGUAGGGGAGCGUUCUGUAAGCCUGUGAAGGUGUGCUGUGAGGCAUGCUGGAGGUAUCAGAAGUGCGAAUGCUGACAUAAGUAACGAUAAAGCGGGUGAAAAGCCCGCUCGCCGGAAGACCAAGGGUUCCUGUCCAACGUUAAUCGGGGCAGGGUGAGUCGACCCCUAAGGCGAGGCCGAAAGGCGUAGUCGAUGGGAAACAGGUUAAUAUUCCUGUACUUGGUGUUACUGCGAAGGGGGGACGGAGAAGGCUAUGUUGGCCGGGCGACGGUUGUCCCGGUUUAAGCGUGUAGGCUGGUUUUCCAGGCAAAUCCGGAAAAUCAAGGCUGAGGCGUGAUGACGAGGCACUACGGUGCUGAAGCAACAAAUGCCCUGCUUCCAGGAAAAGCCUCUAAGCAUCAGGUAACAUCAAAUCGUACCCCAAACCGACACAGGUGGUCAGGUAGAGAAUACCAAGGCGCUUGAGAGAACUCGGGUGAAGGAACUAGGCAAAAUGGUGCCGUAACUUCGGGAGAAGGCACGCUGAUAUGUAGGUGAAGCGACUUGCUCGUGGAGCUGAAAUCAGUCGAAGAUACCAGCUGGCUGCAACUGUUUAUUAAAAACACAGCACUGUGCAAACACGAAAGUGGACGUAUACGGUGUGACGCCUGCCCGGUGCCGGAAGGUUAAUUGAUGGGGUCAGCGCAAGCGAAGCUCUUGAUCGAAGCCCCGGUAAACGGCGGCCGUAACUAUAACGGUCCUAAGGUAGCGAAAUUCCUUGUCGGGUAAGUUCCGACCUGCACGAAUGGCGUAAUGAUGGCCAGGCUGUCUCCACCCGAGACUCAGUGAAAUUGAACUCGCUGUGAAGAUGCAGUGUACCCGCGGCAAGACGGAAAGACCCCGUGAACCUUUACUAUAGCUUGACACUGAACAUUGAGCCUUGAUGUGUAGGAUAGGUGGGAGGCUUAGAAGUGUGGACGCCAGUCUGCAUGGAGCCGACCUUGAAAUACCACCCUUUAAUGUUUGAUGUUCUAACGUUGACCCGUAAUCCGGGUUGCGGACAGUGUCUGGUGGGUAGUUUGACUGGGGCGGUCUCCUCCUAAAGAGUAACGGAGGAGCACGAAGGUUGGCUAAUCCUGGUCGGACAUCAGGAGGUUAGUGCAAUGGCAUAAGCCAGCUUGACUGCGAGCGUGACGGCGCGAGCAGGUGCGAAAGCAGGUCAUAGUGAUCCGGUGGUUCUGAAUGGAAGGGCCAUCGCUCAACGGAUAAAAGGUACUCCGGGGAUAACAGGCUGAUACCGCCCAAGAGUUCAUAUCGACGGCGGUGUUUGGCACCUCGAUGUCGGCUCAUCACAUCCUGGGGCUGAAGUAGGUCCCAAGGGUAUGGCUGUUCGCCAUUUAAAGUGGUACGCGAGCUGGGUUUAGAACGUCGUGAGACAGUUCGGUCCCUAUCUGCCGUGGGCGCUGGAGAACUGAGGGGGGCUGCUCCUAGUACGAGAGGACCGGAGUGGACGCAUCACUGGUGUUCGGGUUGUCAUGCCAAUGGCACUGCCCGGUAGCUAAAUGCGGAAGAGAUAAGUGCUGAAAGCAUCUAAGCACGAAACUUGCCCCGAGAUGAGUUCUCCCUGACCCUUUAAGGGUCCUGAAGGAACGUUGAAGACGACGACGUUGAUAGGCCGGGUGUGUAAGCGCAGCGAUGCGUUGAGCUAACCGGUACUAAUGAACCGUGAGGCUUAACC